GACGAACGCUGGCGGCGUGCUUAACACAUGCAAGUCGAACGGAAAGGCCCUGCUUUUGUGGGGUGCUCGAGUGGCGAACGGGUGAGUAACACGUGAGUAACCUGCCCUUGACUUUGGGAUAACUUCAGGAAACUGGGGCUAAUACCGGAUAGGAGCUCCUGCUGCAUGGUGGGGGUUGGAAAGUUUCGGCGGUUGGGGAUGGACUCGCGGCUUAUCAGCUUGUUGGUGGGGUAGUGGCUUACCAAGGCUUUGGCGGGUAGCCGGCCUGAGAGGGUGACCGGCCACAUUGGGACUGAGAUACGGCCCAGACUCCUACGGGAGGCAGCAGUGGGGAAUAUUGCACAAUGGGCGGAACCCUGAUGCAGCAACGCCGCGUGCGGGAUGACGGCCUUCGGGUUGUAAACCGCUUUCGCCUGUGACGAAGCGUGAGUGACGGUAAUGGGUAAAGAAGCACCGGCUAACUACGUG
Molecule: ribosomal RNA, 468 nt
Filed under: uncultured bacterium
Lineage: Bacteria
Description: partial 16S ribosomal RNA
Rfam family: Bacterial small subunit ribosomal RNA
Source: RNAcentral